ACGCUCACGUUUCUCUUCAGAUCGUAUAAAUCUUUCGCCUUUUACUAAAGAUUUCCGCGGAAAGGAAUAAUACGAGUUCUUAGUAAUUAUUUGAUGCCCUGCUUAGUGCGGAGCU
Molecule: small nuclear RNA, 115 nt
Organism: Scomber japonicus (chub mackerel)
Lineage: Eukaryota; Metazoa; Chordata; Actinopteri; Scombriformes; Scombridae
Product: U5 spliceosomal RNA
Exons: 1
Source: RefSeq, a predicted model, not a curated record